CAUCGCUCGGCUCCCAUGCUGAGUACCGCCUGCCCAAUGAUUUUAAAUGGCCGCAGUAUCCUGACUGUGCAAAGGUAGCAUAAUCACUUGUCUUCUAAUUAAAGGCUUGUAUGAAUGGCACCACGAGGUAGUACCUGUCCCACCCUCACUAUAAAACUUAAUCUGUGAGUCAAAAAGCUUACAUUAACCCGCAGGACGAGAAGACCCCGUAGAGCUUCAUAAUCCGCAUGUUAACUUAUAAGAUUGCCUUAAUUGACACAACAUACAUUAUUUGGUUGGGGCGACUUGAAAUUAAACAACAUUUUAAUUAUAAACCCAUAUUAAUGGCCCCAUGACCCGGUAUCCGAGUAUAAAAUUUAGCUACCUCGGGGAUAACAGCGUAAUCCAAUUUUAGAGUUCUUAUCAAAACUUGGGAUUGCGACCUCGAUGUUGGAUUAAGAUUCAGCUUAAGUGUAGCCGCCUAAUGCUGGGGUCUGUUCGACCGUUAAACUCUUACAUGAUCU
RNAcentral lists this ribosomal RNA (503 nucleotides) under Acanthiops varius. RNAcentral's name for it is "partial 16S ribosomal RNA". It matches the Rfam family "Bacterial large subunit ribosomal RNA", at positions 1814 to 2606 of the family's 2925-position model. Lineage: Eukaryota; Metazoa; Arthropoda; Insecta; Ephemeroptera; Baetidae. The record is from RNAcentral.